Molecule: ribosomal RNA, 698 nt
Filed under: uncultured archaeon
Lineage: Archaea
Description: bacterial SSU rRNA
Rfam family: Archaeal small subunit ribosomal RNA
Source: RNAcentral
AUAACGACCAUGUUCGUUAUGUGCCAGAGGAUGGGGCUGCGGCCGAUCAGGCCGUUGGCGAGGUAACGGCUCACCAAACCUUUGACCGGUACGGGCCAUGAGAGUGGUAGCCCGGAGAUGGACACUGAGAUAGGGGCCCAGGCCCUACGGGGCGCAGCAGGCGCGAAAACUCCACACUGUACGUAAGUACGAUGGGGUUACCUCGAGUGUAGUCUGUAAAAGAUUGCUUUUCCAUAGAGUAAUAUCCUGUGGGAAUAAGAGGGGGGCAAGACUGGUGUCAGCCGCCGCGGUAACACCAGCCCCUCGAGUGGUAGGGACUUUUAUUUGGCCUAAAGCGUUCGUAGCCGUCUGUAACCGUUGCCCGUUAAAUCCAGCGUCUCAAGCGUUGGACUGCGGGCGAUACCUUACAGAUUGAGGGUGGGAUAGGUAAGCGGUAUUUCUGGGGUAGGGGCGAAAUCCUUUGAUCCCAGGAGGACCACCAGUGGCGAAGGCUGCUUACUAGAACACGCCUGACGGUCAGGAACGAAAGCUGGGGUAGCGAACCGGAUUAGAUACCCGGGUAGUCCCAGCUGUAAACGAUGCGCGCUAGGUGUUGGGUCGGCCAUGCGCCGCCCCAGUGCCGCAGGGAAGCCGUUAAGCGCGCCGCCUGGGGAGUACGGCCGCAAGGCUGAAACUUAAAGGAAUUGGCGGGGGAGCAC